GACGAACGCUGGCGGCGUGCUUAACACAUGCAAGUCGAACGGAAAGGCCCUGCUUUUGUGGGGUGCUCGAGUGGCGAACGGGUGAGUAACACGUGAGUAACCUGCCCUUGACUUUGGGAUAACUUCAGGAAACUGGGGCUAAUACCGGAUAGGAGCUCCUGCUGCAUGGUGGGGGUUGGAAAGUUUCGGCGGUUGGGGAUGGACUCGCGGCUUAUCAGCUUGUUGGUGGGGUAGUGGCUUACCAAGGCUUUGACGGGUAGCCGGCCUGAGAAGGUGGCCAGCCACAUUGGGACUGAGAUACGGCCCAGACUCCUACGGGAGGCAGCAGUGGGGACUAUUGCACAAUGGGCGGAAGCCUAAUGCAGCAACGCCGCGUGCGGGAUGACGGCCUUCGGGUUAUAAACCGCUUUCGCCUGUGACGAAGCGGGAGUGACGGUAAUGGGUAAAGAAGCACCGGCUAACUACGUG
RNAcentral lists this ribosomal RNA (468 nucleotides) under uncultured bacterium. RNAcentral describes it as "partial 16S ribosomal RNA". It matches the Rfam family "Bacterial small subunit ribosomal RNA", at positions 28 to 507 of the family's 1533-position model. The record is from RNAcentral.